This 505-nucleotide ribosomal RNA is filed under the name uncultured bacterium. Its description in RNAcentral is "bacterial SSU rRNA". It matches the Rfam family "Bacterial small subunit ribosomal RNA", at positions 23 to 518 of the family's 1533-position model. The record is from RNAcentral.
GUCAGGAUGAACGCUAGCGAUAGGCCUAACACAUGCAAGUCGAGGGGCAGCACAUGAGUAGCAAUACGAUGGUGGCGACCGGCGCACGGGUGAGUAACACGUAUGCAACCUACCUUUAACAGGGGGAUAACCCGUUGAAAAACGGACUAAUACUCCAUAACACAGGGGUCCCGCAUGGGAAUAUUUGUUAAAGAUUAAUCGGUUGAAGAUGGGCAUGCGUUCCAUUAGCUUGUUGGUGAGGUAACGGCUCACCAAGGCCACGAUGGAUAGGGGAACUGAGAGGUUUAUCCCCCACACUGGAACUGAGACACGGUCCAGACUCCUACGGGAGGCAGCAGUGAGGAAUAUUGGUCAAUGGAGGCAACUCUGAACCAGCCAAGUCGCGUGAGGGAAUGAAGGUCUUAUGGAUUGUAAACUUCUUUUGCAAGGGAAUAAAGUGGGGGACGUGUCCUCCUUUGCAUGUACCUUGCGAAUAAGGAUCGGCUAACUCCGUGCCAGCAGCAGC